UAACAGUGAUGAGCUACCACUUCAGGUCCGUGUUUUUGAAAUUUCAUGAUAUUCACCGAAGUUCUGAGUCU
This 71-nucleotide small nucleolar RNA is filed under the name Anabas testudineus (climbing perch). RNAcentral's name for it is "Small nucleolar RNA SNORD18 (ENSATEG00000009690.2)". It matches the Rfam family "Small nucleolar RNA SNORD18". From Rfam's summary of the family: U18 is a member of the C/D class of snoRNA which contain the C (UGAUGA) and D (CUGA) box motifs. It is encoded in introns of ribosomal protein L1 in Xenopus and human, and in introns of elongation factor 1 beta in yeast. Related snoRNAs in Arabidopsis and rice have been named R63 and Z106 respectively. Lineage: Eukaryota; Metazoa; Chordata; Actinopteri; Anabantiformes; Anabantidae. The record is from Rfam by way of RNAcentral.